GCUUGUCUCAAAGAUUAAGCCAUGCAUGUCUAAGUGUAAAUAAGUCUAUACUGUGAAACUGCGAAUGGCUCAUUAAAUCAGUUAUCGUUUAUUUGAUGAUCUCUUACUACUUGGAUAACCGUAGUAAUUCUAGAGCUAAUACAUGCAAAAAGCCUGGACUUCUGGAACAGGCGUAUUUAUUAGAUGGAAACCAAUGCAGGGCAACCUGGAAUAUGGUGAUUCAUAAUAACUCGCGGAUCGGUUUACCGAUGCAUCAUUCAAGUUUCUGCCCUAUCAGCUUUGGAUGGUAGGGUAUUGGCCUACCAUGGCUUUAACGGGUAACGGAGAAUUAGGGUUCGAUUCCGGAGAGGGAGCCUGAGAAAUGGCUACCACAUCCAAGGAAGGCAGCAGG
This 391-nucleotide ribosomal RNA is filed under the name Ochromonas tuberculata. Its description in RNAcentral is "partial small subunit ribosomal RNA". It matches the Rfam family "Eukaryotic small subunit ribosomal RNA", at positions 30 to 432 of the family's 1831-position model. Lineage: Eukaryota; Chrysophyceae; Chromulinales; Chromulinaceae. The record is from RNAcentral.